RNAcentral lists this long non-coding RNA (3207 nucleotides) under Mus musculus (house mouse). RNAcentral's name for it is "long non-coding RNA chr2:173676451-173679658". Lineage: Eukaryota; Metazoa; Chordata; Mammalia; Rodentia; Muridae. The record is from RNAcentral.
UGGAGGGUUUGGCUUCUCAGAACACCCAUUUUGUCCACCCUGUGAUACCUUUUGCCAUCUUUCACCUACAUUCUGUUCUAGGUACUUCAGAUUUGUGAUUUUUGUUGUUGUUUGAAGGUAUUUUUAUGUUUUUUUGUUUGUUUGUUUGUUUUUGAGAAUGAGUCCUGCCAUGUAGCACACACUGAUCGGAAACUGUUUACAUAGUCCAGGCUGGCUUUAAACUUACAUUCCUCCUGCUCCAGCCUUUUGAGUGUUGCGGUCACAGACAUCCGCCAUUGUGCUUCUGAGCUUGUGUUUAAAUGGCAGUGCCUUAGCAAGAGAAAGAGUGUGGUGCAUAAGGAUAUUAAGGAGAUAUUCAAUAUGUUCAUGGUCGGGUCAUGUUGCCAGCUGCAAUUGUUUCAUUUAAUUGCACUGUGUUAUUUCAUCAAGACAUUAAUAUGAGUAGGAGGGUGUUGAUUUAGGACAAGUUUUAGAUCCACUAAAAUUAAUUGUAGGUUUGUCCUUGAAGCCCCAUGUUUUAUUUGGGCCCAUUAGUUCUUCAAGCACAGUGUGUGAUGCUGUGUAAGUUUACCAGGACUCAUGAACUCCACAUUCCAUCUUUAGGCUCUGCAUUCCCUUCAGUUUGCCUUGGUACUAUGAUACUCACACCAUCUGCCUUCUAAGCACUGUUAGUUCCUGCAGCCUCUGGCCUCACAGCCUGCAGAGGUUCUCUCUCACUUGGAAGGGUGGAUACUCUGGCUUGGACAGUUCCUUAUUUGCUUCUUCUAGCACUUUAAAAUGCACUGCUCACUUGGAAGGGCCCUGAUAUCUGUGUUUCUGCUGAACAGUUCACCCUGCCUGUGUCUUCUGUAUAGGGAAUGUCUGUCUUUAGUCUCUGACUGCUUUGGGAGCCCACUCUUUACCUCUUGUUUGGCCAGUUUAUCUUGACACACAAAAUAUAAAAUACCCUCUGGGUUCAUCAACUUUCUUGGACCUGAAGUUUGACUUUUACAAAAUGUGGACAUUACUUACAGUGAUUUUAGAAGUUUUGUUUGUUUGUUUUGUUCCUGCCCCAUUUUUUUUGUCUCGUGUGUGAUAUGGGAGUUCUGUGUGUGCAACGUGCUCAGUAAGCCAAGGAGGCUCCGGACGUCUCCUUUUCUCAUCUCUUUACUUUUCCUCUAAGGCUUAUACAAUUUCCACUUAUUUGUCUUCAAUGCAUUUGGUCCUUUGGUCUGCUGUCUCCAAGAUUCCAGUCACCACAUCAUAUCUAGUACCUUUUAAUUUUUUUUUAAAUACCUUUACUUAUUUUUGUGUGGGGAGUGCCUAUGCCACAGCACAUAUAUGGAGGUCAGAGGACAAUUUAAAGUUUCUGUGUGGGUCCUGCAGAGAAAACCAAAUUUUUAGGCUUGCCGGCCAGCAUCUUUACCCAGGAAGCCUUUUCACUAAGCCCUCUUCUGUUUUGUUGUUGCUUGGUUAGUUUGGUUUUUUGUUUUGUUUUGUUUUGUUGUUUUUGUUUUGUUUUUGAAGCAGACUUGAGGUUUAUUAAAUAUUAUUAAGUACAUUAUUAAAACAUAGGUGUAAACACAGCAUUAAGAGUGAAUAUUGGACAUGUAAAAGGAGGAUGGUACUGCACACCGCAGAACAGCCACCAGCCUCUCUGCAGAGCAGCAACUCCAUGUCUUAGUUGCUCUUUAUGUGAAUUUGGUAGCUUUUGAAGUCACAUCUACUUACACUAUUCAAAGAUGUAAAAGAUGGGGUAGAAAUGUUCACUUAUUCCUGCUAUUGGCUGCAAGACUUGAAAGUGGUUUACAGAAUGUAUGGCACAGGUUCCCAGGCCUUUAGAUAAAAACAUAGUCAAAGGGAGCUUUGUUAUGCUUAGGUCACAAUCCAAAACCUAUUUUGACUGUAAACACAGUUUAUAAUCUUGCUAAAGAGCUCUUCCAGCAGCAGAUGUGAGGGGCUCCUCUUAACUUCUUCCCAUCUUUCUGCUCAGACUCAAUUUUUCUUUUUGAGACUUAGAUCAUCCCUUUGAAGGUUUGUUCUUAUUUUUUAGACAUGGUCAAACUCUAUAACCCAGGUUGACUUACUACUCACUAUGUAGUCCAGGCUUGCCUCAGACAUGCAGUGAUUCCCCCUGCCCCAGCUUCCCAGCUACUAGAAUUAUAUGUGUGAACCACCACACCCACUUUGCAGUCCCUUAAUCCUACAUUUUCUGAAUCUUCCUGUUGAAUAGGGAUGAAGACCCUGUUCUCCAAGUGUGAAAAUCCAGUCUAACAGCUCUAAUGGGGACAAAGUCCAGGCUUGGAGACUGAAGGGUUAUCACAUGAUUGAGGUCUAAAAGGAGGAUAUCAUUACUCAGUAUAUAGCACACAUACAAGCAUUGCUAAGCCUGGUCAUAAGAGUAGCACCAGAAACAUGCAUAUGUGUGCUUCAGCAUGUGAAAACCAGGGGUCAACAUCCAAGUUUUCUUCAAUGUCUUUCCACCUUAUCUUCUGAAACAAAGUCUCCCUUGGACCGUGAAGCUCAGCAGUCUUGGUAGACUGGCUGGCCAGUGCGCUUAGUCCUCUCCUCAGUGCUGGGUUGCUGGGUUACAGACAUGGCCUACCACACAGUUUUCUACAAGGUGCUAUGUAUUCACACUCAGUUCCUCAGGAUCACACUCACUCCAUCAUCAGUUUAGUGGCAAAAAUGAACUGGAAAUGUACAUGAGGAAGAUUUCUAGGACUGGAAAAUGUUGUGACUAUAUUAUUUUGGGUGAUAGUUACAUGAGACUAUGAAGUUUUAAAAUUCAUUGGCCUGAAAAUAUUAUACUACAUUUUAUUGUACAUCAACUCCACCUGUUCUCAUUUCAUUUACUGCUGUGAUAAACCACUCUGACUGAAAACAACUUGGGGAAGAAAGAGUUUCAGCUACAUCGGAUGACAGCUCAUCACUGAGGGACAGGAGCCAUGGGGGAGGGGAGCGUUACUGACUGCCUCACCCUCUCUCUGCCUUGUUCACAGGCUCAUGCUCAGAGUUUCAGUUUUGUUUUCAUUUUUUUUAAGAUUGUUUAUUUUUAGUGCGUGUGUGUGUGUGCAUGUAUCUUUCUGUGGGGUAUGCCUAUGGAGACCAGAAAAAGGUAUCCCAGCCCCUGGAGCUAAAGUUACACUUGUUGGGAAUAUUAGGAACUGAGCUAGGGUGCUGUGAAAGAACAAGAGAUGGAAAAGGAAAAAAAAAAGAAAGAAAUGU